Long non-coding RNA from Sander lucioperca (pikeperch), 486 nucleotides. RefSeq lists it as uncharacterized. Lineage: Eukaryota; Metazoa; Chordata; Actinopteri; Perciformes; Percidae. The transcript has 3 exons. The record is from RefSeq and is a predicted model, not a curated record.
UUUUUCGUCGCAUCAGACGCUGACAGCCACUGUCCAAACGUCCUUAAUUUACGAGUUCGGAGUGAGAACGGGUUGGUUCCCAAAACCAAUUCAAUUUGUUUGUAUAUUGCAGAUUUGGCGCAUUUCAUUUUUGGUUCGUAUACACUCUGCCAACUGUGACACCAGUGGAGCGAUGCAUCUUGGGAGAUUUCUCAUGACAUGACAACAUCAAAACAAGUAGGAGGAGUUAAACAGGGUGUCUGACGCUACAUCUACACGACUACGUUUUCAUUUUUAAGCAGCCUUUUUAGACCAAAACAAUCUCUGUCCACACAAGAGUUUCAGCUCCAGUUGCAGAACUUAUCUCCGUUCAUAUUAACACGUCUGACAUCACAGAUCACAUGACCGUUGAGACACACUGGGCAUGUGCGUGCCGGUGUAAACAGGAAGCAGAUUGUCUGACGUUACUCUGCGGUUAAAAAUCAUGGAUGUAGAAGUUGAAAAUAC